This 627-nucleotide ribosomal RNA is filed under the name uncultured bacterium. RNAcentral's name for it is "bacterial SSU rRNA". It matches the Rfam family "Bacterial small subunit ribosomal RNA", at positions 896 to 1527 of the family's 1533-position model. The record is from RNAcentral.
GAAACUCAAAGGAAUUGACGGGGACCCGCACAAGCGGUGGAUGAUGUGGUUUAAUUCGAUGCAACGCGAAAAACCUUACCUACCCUUGACAUGCCAGGAAUUCUGCAGAGAUGUGGAAGUGCUCGAAAGAGAACCUGGACACAGGUGCUGCAUGGCCGUCGUCAGCUCGUGUCGUGAGAUGUUGGGUUAAGUCCCGCAACGAGCGCAACCCUUGUCAUCAGUUGCUACGAAAGGGCACUCUGAUGAGACUGCCGGUGACAAACCGGAGGGAGGUGGGGAUGACGUCAGGUCCUCAUGGCCCUUAUGGGUAGGGCUACACACGUCAUACAAUGGCCGGUACAGAGGGCAGCCAACCCGCGAGGGGGAGCCAAUCCCAGAAAACCGGUCGUAGUCCGGAUCGCAGUCUGCAACUCGACUGCGUGAAGUCGGAAUCGCUAGUAAUCGCGGAUCAGCUUGCCGCGGUGAAUACGUUCCCGGGUCUUGUACACACCGCCCGUCACACCAUGGGAGCGGGUUCUGCCAGAAGUAGUUAGCCUAACCGCAAGGGGGGCGAUUACCACGGCAGGGUUCGUGACUGGGGUGAAGUCGUAACAAGGUAGCCGUAUCGGAAGGUGCGGCUGGAUCACC